RNAcentral lists this long non-coding RNA (549 nucleotides) under Marmota monax (woodchuck). Lineage: Eukaryota; Metazoa; Chordata; Mammalia; Rodentia; Sciuridae. The record is from RNAcentral.
AAAAUAGUGGAGUUGGGGAAAAGCUGGGGAGAUAUCUUACACUUGUGGCAGAUAGGAACUUGGUGUCAGGAUACUUCUUACCAAAUUGAUGGGGAGUAAGUUAAUAAACAUUGUUAAAGUAUCUCAGCACAAAGAAAAGUAAACACAUUCCCACUUAAAAAGGGGAGGUUGAGCUGGGCAUGGUGGCAUGAUUAUAGGGCACACACCUGUAAUCCCAGCAACUCCAGAGGCUGAAGCAAGAAGAUCUUGAGUUCAAAGCCAGCCUUAGCAAGAGCAAAGCCCUUAGCAACUCAGAUGUGUGUCUAAAUAAAAUACAAAAUAGGGCUGGGGGUGUCGCUCAGUAUUAAGCACCCCUGGGUUCAAUCCCUGGUACCAAAAAAAGGGGGGGGGGUGAGGUUGUAGCUCAGUGGAAGAGCACUUGCCUAACGUGUUCAAUUCUCAGCACCAUAUAUGCAUAUAUGUACCAUAUAUGAAUAAAUAAAAUAAAGAUCCAUCGUCAACUUUAAAAAGGCGGGGGUAUUCAAAGAAUACAGUUUUGCCAGAUUUCAU